Long non-coding RNA from Megachile rotundata (alfalfa leafcutting bee), 764 nucleotides. RefSeq lists it as uncharacterized. The record is from RefSeq and is a predicted model, not a curated record. Lineage: Eukaryota; Metazoa; Arthropoda; Insecta; Hymenoptera; Megachilidae.
AUAUUUUGCAAAGUAAUUACUUUAGUAUAUUCCUUUCUUUUUAAAUUUGUCAACGUUGUCAAAUUCAUGUAAAUACUUCGAAAGUUAGUAUUAGCAACGUACAGAAAAUUUACGAUAAAUAAAUUUGUAAUUAUUAGAAAUUGCCAUGACAUUAGAUUCGCGUAAUUUAAAUUUCCCGGUUGUAUUGCGCAACCAAUUAGAAGGCUUUCUCAAACAUCUAAGGUAUCGCCCAGAGUGUCGUUUCUUGUAUCCUCUAUUCUUUAGUUUACAGAACUUGUGUAAAUGACAGAUCUUAGAUUUAUUCUCUUCAGUCACUGAAAGUAUUAAAAAAUUUUUGUCGAAAUAUAUGUUAACCUGCAUCGAAGUAGUCAUGCUGACUAUUUAUGCUGUUCGAAUAGAAAAUAAGGAAUAUUUAAAGCAAUAAAUUCGUACAGCACACGGACACUCUAUGACAGUAUAGCAAGCGCAACCAAUCUAAACUUAUUAGGAAGAGCGGAAUCAUGUCUACAACAACACGAAUUUCAUUUUGAAAAUUUUAUGUGAACUUUUCACAAAAAUCGCUUGCGUUCGUUUACUCAAGGUCAUCCGGAGGACAUGCUUAGUUGUUGAAUUGCAGCUAUUAUCCCAACUAUUAUAAUUAUUGCAACGGUCACUGGAACUAUAAUAACUGUCAUUGGAACUAUUACAACUGUCACAAUUAUGAUUGCAAGUGUUACAAUUAUCUUUGCAAUUAUUGUAAUUAUUAUUGCAACUAUUACAAGCAA